RNAcentral lists this ribosomal RNA (274 nucleotides) under uncultured bacterium. Its description in RNAcentral is "partial 16S ribosomal RNA". It matches the Rfam family "Bacterial small subunit ribosomal RNA", at positions 523 to 796 of the family's 1533-position model. The record is from RNAcentral.
ACACGGAGGGUGCGAGCGUUAAUCGGAAUUACUGGGCGUAAAGCGUACGUAGGCGGUUGGUUAAGUUAGAUGUGAAAGCCCCGGGCUUAACCUGGGAACUGCAUUUAAAACUGGCGAACUAGAGUUGAGUAGAGGGGAGUGGAAUUUCAGGUGUAGCGGUGAAAUGCGUAGAGAUCUGAAGGAACACCAGUGGCGAAGGCGACUCCCUGGACUCGAACUGACGCUGAGGUACGAAAGCGUGGGUAGCAAACGGGAUUAGAAACCCCAGUAGUCC